CGCCGCUCUGCGCCCGCCGGGAGGGGGCCUGGGGGCGCCCGGGGCCCGGGCGAUGCCCCCGCGGAGCCUGAGCCUGCUGGGCCCCGCCUCGCGGUCGCAGCCCUGGCCCUGGGCCUCCCCGUUGGCGGCGCGCGGCCGCACAGAUGCGGGGGGCUCGUGCAGGAACCUCACCUGCCUGAGAGCGCUGGUUCUGCUUUCAAGAGGAUCCAACUGGAAGUGGCUCUAGAAAGCCAACCAUCAGGAUGGGAUUCUGGAACUGGACAACAUUUUUGGUCAUUCAGCAACAAGGGCCUGUUGUUCCUUUAGGUGGAGAGUGAUAGCUCCUUGGGUGCUGAAGCAUUAAAAUCACUAAGACAUAGUGUGAAUUGCAGUAAGGAAUGGAUGGAGGGGAAUUGCUAGAUCAUGCAGUAAAACUUGAAUGAAAUGUGAGUAAGGGUGAUUAUAAGGAUUUUGGAAUUAGCUGCUUUUGCUGAGUGCCCAGGGAACCUUGAAGAAAAAGAAUGGCAGGCUCCAUUCAGCCAACUAAUAAUAUAGGGCUCAGUGAGAAAGCUUCUGGCCUCCUUGUCACUGUUUGAAGAACUCUCCUCCUGGUGUUACAGGAAGACUAUUGAAAACUGGGACAAGUAUUUAACCAUAUGGUGCCAGAGCUGCUAGACUACGGGCCCUGAUAGGGAAGGAGUGAGACCUUAGAAUCUGGGGCCUGGACACUUGGGUGGUUAUAUCUGAAAAUCUUGAACCCCCAGAUUUACCUGAUUCCUCUAACCAGUGAAAGAAGCCCUAUGCCCUUGAAAGUAGCCUCCUCUUGGGGCACCUGGGUGAUUCAGUGCUUGAGCAUCUGCCUUUGGCUCAAGUCAUGAUGCCAGGGUCCUGGGAUUGAGUCCCGCCUCAGACUCCCCACAGAGAGCCUGCAUCUCCCUCUGCCUAUGUCCCUGCCUCUCCAUCUCUAAAAAAUUUUAAAAAAGAGAAGAAAAAGAAAAAGAAAAAGAAGAAAGAAAGAAAGAAAGAGAGAAAGAAAGAAAACAAAAGAAAGAAAGAAAGAAA
RNAcentral lists this long non-coding RNA (1041 nucleotides) under Vulpes vulpes (red fox). RNAcentral describes it as "lncRNA (ENSVVUG00000016578.1)". Lineage: Eukaryota; Metazoa; Chordata; Mammalia; Carnivora; Canidae. The record is from RNAcentral.